RNAcentral lists this long non-coding RNA (636 nucleotides) under Homo sapiens (human). RNAcentral describes it as "non-protein coding lnc-VLDLR-7:1". The record is from RNAcentral. Lineage: Eukaryota; Metazoa; Chordata; Mammalia; Primates; Hominidae.
AUUUGCAAGUAUUGUCUCCUAUUCUGUGCACUCUCUUUUCACUUUCUUGAUAGUGUCCUUUGAAGCACAAAAACGUUUAAUUUUGAUGAAGUUCCAUUUAUUCCUUUUUUCUUUUGUUGCUUGUGCUUUUUGUAGAAACCAUUGCCAAAUACAAGAUCAUGAAAAUUUACCCCUAUGUUUUUGAUCCAUAAAGUUCUUUUGACUUUUAAAAUUCUAUAAGAUAAGUCAAUACUGGUCGCCUAUUACACACAAAGAACUAUUGGGAUUUCAGGGGAAACUGGAUAUUGGAGACUCAAGCAUCAGAAUGGAUAAGGCAUCAUUUUAGUGUUAGAAUCAGAUCCCAAGAUGGAAACUUCAGAAAUGCCAGGAUGUGCAGGAUGUGAUUGAGUUAUAUGUAGACAAAGAGAUUUGGGAUAGAAGUGUUUAAAUAUAGAGUCCAAGGUAACUUAACAGACCUCUAAUUAAAACAAUGAAAGCAAAAUUCCGAAAUACAUAAAGGCAAAUAAUAAGCUCUGAAGAAAACUGGAAAAAGUCUGACAAAUUCCAAGCCUUGCUUGAACUAAAGAACACAAUGCUAUUUGUGUAGAGGGAAAAUGUUAACAAAUGCUACAUAAAGUUGUGGCCUGAAUAUAGAAA